Molecule: small RNA, 329 nt
Filed under: Histoplasma capsulatum var. duboisii H88
Lineage: Eukaryota; Fungi; Ascomycota; Eurotiomycetes; Onygenales; Ajellomycetaceae
Description: Histoplasma capsulatum H88 hypothetical RNA
Source: RNAcentral
GAGGGGGGAGAUUGGAUUGGAUUGGGGUUUGCUGGCAAUGAAUGAUUUUUGAGAGAGAGAGAGAGAGAGAGAGAAAGAGAGAGAGAGAGAGAAAGAGAAAGAGAUUUCUAUUUAUUUACUUUUAUUUAUCUUUACUCUCUCAUUUACGCUUAUGAAGGGAUGAUAAUAUAAACAAAACAGCGUGCCCUCUCGCUUUCCUCUUUCUUUUCAGGCAACAGGCAACUGCAAUUUUGUAGAUCCUACCUACCCCUCAAAAAGCACGAUAUCCAGCUUCAGCUACAGCAGAGCGAAAUACCCUGAUAACUAACAAUGGAUAAUAAAACUGGGCU